ACAUAGGAGUUGAAAUCCCUUUUACAGAGCAAGGCAGGUGUCUGUGUUCAGGAUCUGUUUCCCAGGCAUGGUAGUGCAGACCUGUAUCCAGGAUCUGGGAAGUGCAUCAAAAGAAACCAGAUGGGCUGAAGAGAUGGCUCAGUGUUUACGAACACUUCCUGCACUUGCAGAGAACCUAGGUUUGGUUCCCACCCUUAUCAGGUAGCUCACAAUUUCUGCAAUUCUAGUUCCAGGGAAUCGAACACCUUCUGUCCUCCCUGGGCAUCUACAAAUAUAUGGUGCACAUAAAUUCAUACAGGAACACGUGUAUAAAAGAAAUAUAUCUUAAGACAAAAUUGCAUUUGCAAUACUGCUGUAAGAAAAACAAGAACAGGUUUGCUCCUACCCAGCCUGACAGAGUUGGACCUAACUUGUGUGAUGCCUUGUGAGUGCCUCUCCGCUGCCUUGUGAGCAGUUAUUAGCCUAGGAGAGUUGUCUAAUUCCUUAAUAUCCUACAGCAGUGGGGCCUCUCACUUGUAACUCUGACCAGCAGCAGUUCCGGUCUCCAGAGAGAAAUCUCUUAUUUGGGAGAGCUCUUUUAUUUGUAUAAAAUACUGAUCAUCAUUUUCAGAUUUCUAUUAAAUUUUUCCCUCUAGGUUUUUUACCUCCAUUUUGUAAAGCUUAGCAGUUUGCAAAGGGAAAUGUGAAAUUUUUCUUAGACACAUAAGUGAAUACAGCAGGAAUUAGCACAACUAAUUAUUGUAACUUCCAGUGCCCUGGGCUGCAGCAGGUGACUUGCUGUGUAACUUCCCAGUCUCUCACUAUAAUAUACUCCUUGUCAAUGACAAUGGUGUCAAUCGAUUUCUGUUCAAAUUCAGGCAGUUAUCAGAAACCUAGCAUUGGCAAACAACUUUUUCCUCAUCUUAGGAUAAUACAAAUGUAUUUUAAGAGUCAUGCUUAGUUGGAAUCUAAAUUCUGAGAAAAAUGCUAAAAAAUACACUUAGGAAAUGGUUUUCAAGUCAUAAAUUAUAAGUGAUAUAGCUAUAGAAACAAUGCAGAAAAUCAUCUGUCAGGUGAGCAACAGAUGUAUGUAAAACUGAGGGUAUGUGUACUGUAAUUUUAUAGUAAGUAUCUGCAUUAUGCUUUUGUUAGAGAAUGGAAAUUGUUUAGUUCAGAAAUUCUUAACAGUUAAGUGUGUGAACAAAAGUGUUUUAUAAAUGCUUAGGAUUCUACAAAUGAUAAUUGUUAUUCUCAUGUAUAUUUGUAAGAUCAUGUCCAUUCAUAAAUAUAUAUAAAAGACUUGGUCAAAGUAAAUUUGUAUUUUAGUAUUUUUGUCUGUUGUAAAAGUAUUAUCUACUUGUAUCUUAUAAUGUUUAUCUUUCAUAUAUUCUCAUGUUUAUUGCAGUAAAUUGGAAAAAAUCCUGAAAAUCAGAAUUUGUUCAAACAAAUUAAUUUUUAUGUUACAAAUUAUAUUAAAAGUUACCAGAAAGUACCUGAAUCCUAGAAAAUUAACUUUUAAAAGCUACCCAAUUGGUAUUUUAACUUCCUUUAAUUACUUACCUUUGCUAAUCCUUGAUAAAUAAUAGUGGUAAGCCCUGGUUUAAAAAAUAAUAAUUUUGCCGGGCAGUGGUGGCACACGCCUUUAAUACCAGCACUUGAGGGGCAGAGGCAGGCAAAUUUCUGAGUUCCAGGACAGCCAGGGCUACACAGAGAAACUAUGUCCUGAAAAAAAUAAUUAAUUUUAGGGUAUAAUAAAUGUAUUAAAAGGGCUAUAUCAACCAUCCUAGAGUCAGACUAUCUUCAUUCUGUUAUCCCAUAAUUGGCAGACUUUCUUUUGAUAGGUGAUGUUUAUAUGAGCCUCUAAGUUAGGAUGUGUGUGUGUUUAUAUGUAGAUAGUAUGAUGUGUACAUAUAUCACAAACACCCAAUGGUUUUUGCAGUUUAAUUAUCAGAAAUUUGUAUAAAUUAAAAAAUUAGUUGAUCAUAGACAAUUUGAUUACAUAAGACUAAAUUUGAACAUUUCUAGAGUACUCUUUAUUGUUGAGACAGGAUCUCUGUAGCCUGUGCUAGCCUCAAACUCUUAGCAAUUCUUUGCCUUCUGAGAGCUGCAGUUAGAAGAGGAAGCCAGGACCAUUUUCUAAAAUAAGCAUUUCAUCUGAAAGUGCAGAUCUGGUCUUAAGGAUCUGUGCACCUGUGUAACUACAGCGUUACAAGGCCAGGAAGCAGACCUGGAGAUCUGUGUAACGACAGUGUUACAAGGUCAGAAAGCAGACCUGGAGAUCUGUGUAACGACAGUGUUACAAGGCCAGGAAGCAGACCUGGAGAUCUGUGUAACGACAGUGUUACAAGGCCAGGAAGCAGACCUGGAGAUCUGUGUAACGACAGUGUUACAAGGCCAGGAAGCAGACCUGGAGAGAAGCGUGCAAACACCGCUUGUGGCUGUUCAGUUGGAAAGGUCAUAUGUUUUGUGAAUCAACAGGAAAUUACAGUUGGUUUUUGUGUACAUUUUCAUGAACUUGAAUCCUCCUCCAAGUCUUCUCCAUGUACUCCACAAGGUGGCCUGACUUCCUCCCUGUCUGCUGUACUCUCCCACACUGACUGACUGACAGGAAUUGGGUUCUCCACAGCCGUUUGUCAUAGAUGGGCGGUUGGGAUCCAGGUGUUUACUCCAUUGGAAUCAGGUUUUAAACGACCAAAUGCUCAGGGAGGGCAUUGGCUUGUCUGAGUCACCCAUCGGGUGUGCAAAGCACUCUCACCAUUUAGUUGAUGGCUCUAGACGGAUAUGUUUCAGAAAUUUCACUUCUAGCAGUGGUUAAACAUCCAUUCUGCUUGGAAAGAUGACAGUGCUUGGUGAGCCGGCACACUCUCCUGGUGAAUAUGAAUUGUUUCUGCAUCUGCUGUCAGACCCCCAUUUUGAAACUCAGGAAAGACAAAGGUGGGUUUUCUGCUUUUGUCAUUGUCCAACCCAGGUGUGUGCUGCUUUUUCCUGAUCUGACAGUAGAUUUUUAAAAAUCACUCUGAGAGCCCAUGCACAUACACGAAGAGAGAACGGGAGUUGGAUUAUUUGUGUGUGCCUUUAACGUCUUGAGAGGAUACAUCCUACAGACUUCAUGUGGUACCAAGAUAAUGUCCGGAAGCUUCCUGUGGACUGCCUCAUAGUCAACCCAAGACAUUACUAGUUAAAACGAUUUGGUCUUGCUGGAGUUAGUGGUACAGAGCUGAGUGUGGUGGCAAUGUCUGAUUCCAGUCCUUGGGAGAUGUGACAAGAAGAUCAGGAAAGUUCCAGGACAGCCAUGGCAACAGAGCCAGUUUGAGGUCAGAGUUGGCCACAUGAAUUCCCAUGUGAGAAACAGUAAUGGCAUUGAUUGGCAUUGUGUAGAAAGCUGGAAUGAUAUCAUUUCAUCCAUUAUUAUGUUCCAAACCACAUAACC
RNAcentral lists this long non-coding RNA (3409 nucleotides) under Mus musculus (house mouse). RNAcentral's name for it is "long non-coding RNA chr16:20124174-20127583". Lineage: Eukaryota; Metazoa; Chordata; Mammalia; Rodentia; Muridae. The record is from RNAcentral.